RNAcentral lists this long non-coding RNA (1261 nucleotides) under Micromonas commoda. Its description in RNAcentral is "long non-coding RNA (MCOM_LNC000339)". The record is from RNAcentral. Lineage: Eukaryota; Viridiplantae; Chlorophyta; Mamiellophyceae; Mamiellales; Mamiellaceae.
ACGCGGAUAAGCGCGCCGCGGCGCGCGCCGCGCACGAGCAGGUCCUCUGCCGCCAGAGCACCGUCGAGUUCAUCUCCUCGCUGCUCAAGGGCACGGACACCCCGGAUGAGCCCUUACCUCAACUCUUCGACGGUCUGCCCAACAGCGUCAACGAGUUCGCGGCGCUCGCGGACCCAACGGCGCCGAGCAUCACCAAGCAAGGAUCCACCAGCACCCUCGGGCCCUUCAUCGAUAACAUGAUCACCGAGCAGAACCGAAAAGCGGCUGCGGAGGCGCAGAAACUGGGUAGGGCCAACAGGUUCAAGAUGGGACCCGCGCCGGCGAGCGCGCUGAAGCGCAGGACGCCCGCGCCGCCGGACUUUUCCGCCGGCCUGCCCAUCGAAUAUCCCGUCGAGUUGAUCGCGGCGAAGCGCGCCAGGCGGAUCAACAGCGCGCCGGCGAGGCCGGGUCCCGCUCCUUGGGUGGGCGUCUCCGCCGACCACGCGCAUCCCAUGGCGAGGCGGCCGGACGGCUUCAUCGACGGCCCGGGGGUCCCUCCCACUAAUCGGGUCCCUGGUCUCGGGAUCGCCGGGGACAGGGCGUCGCCGGUGAUGAUGGGAGGAGGAGGAAACGGUCAGACGAACGCGGUGUCGCCGUCGGCGUCGUCCUUCGGGGGCGUCGCGAUGCAACCGCCGGCUGUGAAACACGAGGUAAAUGCGGCGAUGGGUUUGGCCGCCAAGGUUGAAAAACCCAAGGCGAAGAACCCCAAGCGCGCGGACCGCCGCAGGACCAUCGCGAGGUUCACCACCGCGAUCCUGCGAGCGGGCGGGUCCAACGCCUUCAUCGCUCGCGACGGCUUGGGCUAUCGCAAGGCUUUCGACAGGUUUUUGGUUGAGACGUACGGCGACACGUUCGCGGAGGGCGGGUACUGGUACGAAAACGCUCGCGUCGAGCCGUUCUUCAGGGUGCUGUUCCACAUCGCGACGGAUGGUAGGGUGCAGCUCGACCCGGACGCGGUGAACACGCUGUUUUGCAAGCGCGAGAAGCGACAGGCGGCGGAGUGGCUCCUCGACGAGGAGGAGCUGUCCAAGUUUGGAGUCACCGCCACGCAGCUCGCGCAGAUAUUCGAGGGGCCGCCGAGCGUAUCGCCCACGGGCUAUCCGCGCGGAACCCCGCUGGCCAUUCCCACGGAUGCAGAGCUUGACGGCGGCGCGGUGCCCGCGAAGAUGCCCGCGUCGUCAUCGGUGGCGGCGGCUGCUGCGGCGGCGGCGGCCGCCGCCGC